This 653-nucleotide ribosomal RNA is filed under the name Staphylococcus sp. RNAcentral's name for it is "bacterial SSU rRNA". It matches the Rfam family "Bacterial small subunit ribosomal RNA", at positions 48 to 683 of the family's 1533-position model. The record is from RNAcentral. Lineage: Bacteria; Bacillati; Bacillota; Bacilli; Caryophanales; Staphylococcaceae.
AUAAUACAUGCAAGUCGAGCGAACAGACGAGGAGCUUGCUCCUCUGACGUUAGCGGCGGACGGGUGAGUAACACGUGGAUAACCUACCUAUAAGACUGGGAUAACUUCGGGAAACCGGAGCUAAUACCGGAUAAUAUAUUGAACCGCAUGGUUCAAUAGUGAAAGACGGUUUUGCUGUCACUUAUAGAUGGAUCCGCGCCGCAUUAGCUAGUUGGUAAGGUAACGGCUUACCAAGGCAACGAUGCGUAGCCGACCUGAGAGGGUGAUCGGCCACACUGGAACUGAGACACGGUCCAGACUCCUACGGGAGGCAGCAGUAGGGAAUCUUCCGCAAUGGGCGAAAGCCUGACGGAGCAACGCCGCGUGAGUGAUGAAGGUCUUCGGAUCGUAAAACUCUGUUAUUAGGGAAGAACAAAUGUGUAAGUAACUAUGCACGUCUUGACGGUACCUAAUCAGAAAGCCACGGCUAACUACGUGCCAGCAGCCGCGGUAAUACGUAGGUGGCAAGCGUUAUCCGGAAUUAUUGGGCGUAAAGCGCGCGUAGGCGGUUUUUUAAGUCUGAUGUGAAAGCCCACGGCUCAACCGUGGAGGGUCAUUGGAAACUGGAAAACUUGAGUGCAGAAGAGGAAAGUGGAAUUCCAUGUGUAGCGGUG